UGCUCGAGUGGCGAACGGGUGAGUAACACGUGGGUGAUCUGCCCUGCACUUCGGGAUAAGCUUGGGAAACUGGGUCUAAUACCGGAUAGGACCAUCGUUUAGUGUCGGUGGUGGAAAGUUUUUUCGGUGUGGGAUGAGCUGCGGCCUAUCAGCUUGUUGGUGGGGUAAUGGCCUACCAAGGCGUCGACGGGUAGCCGGCCUGAGAGGGUGUACGGCCACAUUGGGACUGAGAUACGGCCCAG
Molecule: ribosomal RNA, 242 nt
Filed under: uncultured Actinomycetales bacterium
Lineage: Bacteria; Bacillati; Actinomycetota; Actinomycetes; Actinomycetales
Description: partial 16S ribosomal RNA
Rfam family: Bacterial small subunit ribosomal RNA
Source: RNAcentral